GUAUUCUUCUCUACCUUCCAAGACAACUUCUCUCUCGUCACCCCCAACCUAACAUACGCCCUCAAUCUCUCGUCAUGAGUAGAUGGCGAUGAAUGCCGAGACAGCGGAGGGGAUUGCGCCAAACCCAGUCUGGUAGUUGCCUCCGUCACGCUCCUCGUUCUUCGAAAAUGAAAGUUUCUGCCUUCGUCACUGCUGUCCACCGUGGCAACUACCGGACCGGGUUCAGUGCGAUCCACUCCGCUGUCUCGGCGUUCGUCGCCAUCUACACGGAGCCGUUUUCACUCAAACCGAGCGAGCUCCUUCCAUCACAUCACGAAGAAAAACAAUGAGAAAUGAAGAGCUGAUAUGGCUGGAGGAAUUCUUAUUGAAGUAGCAUGUUUAACAUUGCCUAUUGUUAAACUUACUUUCCCUCGUGUCAUUGUUCUCCAACUCAAAGUUACUACUUGAUACAAUUGGUCAAGGAUUAUGGAAUAAAAUGAAGCUUUUUGAUGUGGAACAGUCCACUUUCAGUGCUUUGACUGGCACCGCAACUGAGGUGAUUGUUUCUUGGCCAAUUCACCAUGUAAUUUGGUCUGUUUUCUAUUUACUUAAUCAAUAAUUUUUUCAAUUUUAGGUAGAGAACUGAGUUAAUUGGGAUUUGGGAUUAGAUUGAGCAACUCACAUACUUGCUGUUCUGAUACUAUGCAGGCAUGAUGUAGAAGCUAUUUGGGCUGCAAUAGAAUCUGGUGAAUCCUAGGUUGGUAGAUGCAAUGAAGCUAUUAUUCAAAUUACUUCUCCAUCACGAGAACUGUGGAGAUGCCACAGCCUCUACAAAAUCUCUAAAAAUAAACUUUCAGCGCGGCAAGUGUGUCUCCAGUAAUGAGUUCAAAGUGCAAGAGCGAGUAGACAACAUUCCAAGAUUUAGGGAAGUGAUCAGGUGGGCAUGCCAAAAAGAUGAGGAGUUCAUUGCAUCACUUUCCAACAAAUCAACGACCAAUAAUUUGGUUACCAGUAUGUUGGAUUUAGUACACACGGAUCUCUAGACUGUUUUGAGUUAUUAUUGAUCUAACUAUUUUGACUUGAUAUUGAUUGUAAAGAAUACUUUGGGUUAAUAUAUUCUUAUUUUGUCGGCUCA
This is a long non-coding RNA of Rosa rugosa (rugosa rose), 1114 nucleotides long. RefSeq lists it as uncharacterized. The transcript has 4 exons. NCBI's taxonomy places the organism in Eukaryota, Viridiplantae, Streptophyta, Magnoliopsida, Rosales, Rosaceae. The record is from RefSeq and is a predicted model, not a curated record.